RNAcentral lists this long non-coding RNA (326 nucleotides) under Elaeis guineensis (African oil palm). Its description in RNAcentral is "long non-coding RNA (EGUI_LNC052083)". The record is from RNAcentral. Lineage: Eukaryota; Viridiplantae; Streptophyta; Magnoliopsida; Arecales; Arecaceae.
GUGGCGGUGGGUGAAGGCCAUGUUCAAAUCGCAUCAGUAGGCCACUUAGGGCCCUGAGGAAGAGACCUCCUGACAGUGAGGACCACGGUCUGCAAUGAGACCGACUGCACAGUCCAGUGGCCAUCUCUCUUGGAAGCACAUACCCCACAGAUGCACCAUGAGAGACAGUCAUCGAAGCCAUGCCCGCUCUGAGCAUAGCAUUGAAGUCAUCCCUCAAAGCUGCUGAUCCGCACUUCCUCCAGACGAGAUGAAUAUUUUCAAUACCUCCCAAGCUAAGAUGAAAUCUACAAAGUGACUCCCUUCCCUCAGACGACAAGCGAUGGCCC